Molecule: ribosomal RNA, 440 nt
Filed under: uncultured bacterium
Lineage: Bacteria
Description: partial 16S ribosomal RNA
Rfam family: Bacterial small subunit ribosomal RNA
Source: RNAcentral
CCUACGGGAGGCAGCAGUGGGGAAUAUUGCACAAUGGGGGAAACCCUGAUGCAGCGACGCCGCGUGAGUGAAGAAGUAUUUCGGUAUGUAAAGCUCCAUCAGCAGGGAAGAAAAUGACGGUACCUGUUCAAUAAGCCAUGGCUAACUACGUGCCAGCUGCCGUGGCAAUACGGAGGCUGCAAGCGUUAUCCGGAUUUACUGGGUGUAAAGGGAGCGUAGACGGCUGCACAAGUCCGGAGUGAAAUGGUGGGGCUUAAUCGAGGAACUGCUUUGGAAACUGGGCGGCUAGAGUGCAGGAGAGGUAAGUGGAAUUCGUGGUGUAGCGGUGAAAUGCUUAGAUAUUAGGAAGAACACCGGUGGCGAAGGCGGCUUACUAGACUGUAACUGACGUUGAGGCUCGAAAGCGUGGGGAGCAAACAGGAUUAGAUACCCUUGUAGUC